UUGUUCUUGGUUGUGACAGGGCAACAAGCAAGGCUAGCGAGGCUGCCCGCAGGGAGAUGGACGGCAUUGCAGCUUCCAUCAAGGAUCAAAGAAAAGCAGUCCCCA
Molecule: small RNA, 105 nt
Filed under: Chromera velia
Lineage: Eukaryota; Chromeraceae
Description: partial Betaproteobacteria transfer-messenger RNA
Source: RNAcentral